RNAcentral lists this ribosomal RNA (427 nucleotides) under uncultured bacterium. Its description in RNAcentral is "bacterial SSU rRNA". It matches the Rfam family "Bacterial small subunit ribosomal RNA", at positions 355 to 774 of the family's 1533-position model. The record is from RNAcentral.
UGGGGAAUUUUGGACAAUGGACGCAAGUCUGAUCCAGCCAUGCCGCGUGCGGGAAGAAGGCCUUCGGGUUGUAAACCGCUUUUGUCAGGGAAGAAACGAGUUUCUCUAAUACAGAGACUUAAUGACGGUACCUGAAGAAUAAGCACCGGCUAACUACGUGCCAGCAGCCGCGGUAAUACGUAGGGUGCGAGCGUUAAUCGGAAUUACUGGGCGUAAAGCGUGCGCAGGCGGUUAUAUAAGACAGAUGUGAAAUCCCCGGGCUCAACCUGGGAACUGCAUUUGUGACUGUAUAGCUAGAGUGCGGCAGAGGGGGAUGGAAUUCCGCGUGUAGCAGUGAAAUGCGUAGAUAUGCGGAGGAACACCGAUGGCGAAGGCGAUCCCCUGGGCCUGUACUGACGCUCAUGCACGAAAGAGUGGGGAGCAAACA